AGCAGAGUGGCGCAGUGGAAGCGUGCUGCGAGCCUCAUAACCUACGAUGGUCCGAGGUAUCAAAACCUCGCUCGUGCCC
Non-coding RNA from Desmophyllum pertusum, 79 nucleotides. The record is from the annotation of a GenBank genome assembly. NCBI's taxonomy places the organism in Eukaryota, Metazoa, Cnidaria, Anthozoa, Scleractinia, Caryophylliidae.